UACAGAGGGUGCAAGCGUUAAUCGGAAUUACUGGGCGUAAAGCGUGCGUAGACGGUUAUUUAAGUCAGGUGUGAAAGCCCAGGGCUCAACCUUGGAAUUGCAUUUGAGACUGAAUAGCUAGGGUGCGGAAGAGGGAAGCGGAAUUUCCGGUGUAGCGGUGAAAUGCGUAGAUAUCGGAAGGAACACCAGUGGCGAAAGCGGCUUCCUGGUCCAGCACCGACGUCAGGCACGAAAGCGUGGGGAGCAAAAGGG
This 252-nucleotide ribosomal RNA is filed under the name uncultured bacterium. Its description in RNAcentral is "partial 16S ribosomal RNA". It matches the Rfam family "Bacterial small subunit ribosomal RNA", at positions 524 to 776 of the family's 1533-position model. The record is from RNAcentral.